This 735-nucleotide ribosomal RNA is filed under the name uncultured Fusobacterium sp. RNAcentral describes it as "bacterial SSU rRNA". It matches the Rfam family "Bacterial small subunit ribosomal RNA", at positions 28 to 776 of the family's 1533-position model. Lineage: Bacteria; Fusobacteriati; Fusobacteriota; Fusobacteriia; Fusobacteriales; Fusobacteriaceae. The record is from RNAcentral.
GAUGAACGCUGACAGAAUGCUUAACACAUGCAAGUCAACUUGAAUUUGGGUUUUUAACUUAGGUUUGGGUGGCGGACGGGUGAGUAACGCGUAAAGAACUUGCCUCACAGCUAGGGACAACAUUUGGACACGAAUGCUAAUACCUAAUAUUAUGAUAAUAGGGCAUCCUAUAAUUAUGAAAGCUAUAAGCGCUGUGAGAGAGCUUUGCGUCCCAUUAGCUAGUUGGAGAGGUAACGGCUCACCAAGGCGAUGAUGGGUAGCCGGCCUGAGAGGGUGAUCGGCCACAAGGGGACUGAGACACGGCCCUUACUCCUACGGGAGGCAGCAGUGGGGAAUAUUGGACAAUGGACCAAGAGUCUGAUCCAGCAAUUCUGUGUGCACGAUGAAGUUUUUCGGAAUGUAAAGUGCUUUCAGUUGGGAAGAAAGAAAUGACGGUACCAACAGAAGAAGUGACGGCUAAAUACGUGCCAGCAGCCGCGGUAAUACGUAUGUCACGAGCGUUAUCCGGAUUUAUUGGGCGUAAAGCGCGUCUAGGUGGUUAUGUAAGUCUGAUGUGAAAAUGCAGGGCUCAACUCUGUAUUGCGUUGGAAACUGUAUAACUAGAGUACUGGAGAGGUAAGCGGAACUACAAGUGUAGAGGUGAAAUUCGUAGAUAUUUGUAGGAAUGCCGAUGGGGAAGCCAGCUUACUGGACAGAUACUGACGCUGAAGCGCGAAAGCGUGGGUAGCAAACAGG